GCGCCCGUAGCUCAAUUGGAUAGAGCACCUGAUUACGGAUCAGGAGGUUGGGGGUUCGAGUCCCUCCGGGCGUG
This 74-nucleotide transfer RNA is filed under the name Acidimicrobiia bacterium. RNAcentral describes it as "tRNA-Arg". It matches the Rfam family "tRNA". From Rfam's summary of the family: Transfer RNA (tRNA) molecules are approximately 80 nucleotides in length. Their secondary structure includes four short double-helical elements and three loops (D, anti-codon, and T loops). Further hydrogen bonds mediate the characteristic L-shaped molecular structure. tRNAs have two regions of fundamental functional importance: the anti-codon, which is responsible for specific mRNA codon recognition, and the 3' end, to which the tRNAs corresponding amino acid is attached (by aminoacyl-tRNA synthetases). tRNAs cope with the degeneracy of the genetic code in two manners: having more than one tRNA (with a specific anti-codon) for a particular amino acid; and 'wobble' base-pairing, i.e. permitting non-standard base-pairing at the 3rd anti-codon position. RNAcentral also lists the same sequence under 1 other name. Lineage: Bacteria; Bacillati; Actinomycetota; Acidimicrobiia. The record is from RNAcentral.